Cygnus atratus (black swan) is the source of this 229-nucleotide long non-coding RNA. RefSeq lists it as uncharacterized. Lineage: Eukaryota; Metazoa; Chordata; Aves; Anseriformes; Anatidae. The transcript is spliced from 3 exons. The record is from RefSeq and is a predicted model, not a curated record.
GAAGUAUGCUUGACUUUGACUUUUCAAGAAAUCUUCCUUAGAAAGAGCAACUCCAAAUAUCUGGACGCUACUGUGCUACAUGAGUAGCAUGAGUAAAAAAUGGUCUACAGCAUCAGUAUUUUCAUUAAUGACCUGUGUGAUACAACAGACUUUUUGUAUUUGUGCAGAACAAGAAGAGAAGCAGACAUGCUAGAACAUGACAGAAAAAGUAUUCAAAAUUACUUUUUUC